GCAGUUGUGGCCUAAUGGUUAGAGAGUCAGCCUUGUAACCUGUAGGUUCUGGGUUUGAGUCUCAGGUCUGGCA
Molecule: non-coding RNA, 73 nt
Organism: Pangasius djambal
Lineage: Eukaryota; Metazoa; Chordata; Actinopteri; Siluriformes; Pangasiidae
Source: the annotation of a GenBank genome assembly